This 253-nucleotide ribosomal RNA is filed under the name uncultured bacterium. RNAcentral describes it as "partial 16S ribosomal RNA". It matches the Rfam family "Bacterial small subunit ribosomal RNA", at positions 524 to 776 of the family's 1533-position model. The record is from RNAcentral.
UACAGAGGGUGCAAGCGUUGUUCGGAAUUACUGGGCGUAAAGGGCGUGCAGGCGGCUUGUCAAGUCAGAUGUGAAAUCCCACGGCUCAACCGUGGAAGCGCAUUUGAAACUGGCAGGCUUGAGUACCAGAGGGGAAAGUGGAAUUCCCGGCGUAGAGGUGAAAUUCGUAGAUAUCGGGAGGAAUACCGGUGGCGAAGGCGACUUUCUGGCUGGAUACUGACGCUGAGACGCGAAAGCGCGGGGAGCAAACAGG